Molecule: unclassified non-coding RNA, 222 nt
Filed under: uncultured Actinomycetes bacterium
Lineage: Bacteria; Bacillati; Actinomycetota; Actinomycetes
Description: uncultured actinobacterium contains 16S-23S intergenic spacer region
Source: RNAcentral
UCCGAUUUGGCACCGGCGGUCUCCCAUGAGUCCCCGGCAUGACCCGCUGGCAACAUGGGACAGGGGUUGCGCUCGUUGCGCCACUUAAGGCAACACCUCACGGCACGAGCUGACGACAGCCAUGCAGCACCUGUGCGGGCCCCCGAAGGGGCACCGUGUUUCCACGGCGUCACCCCGCAUGUCAAGCCCUGGUAAGGUGGGGAUGACGUCCCAGUAUCGGAA